This is a long non-coding RNA of Eurypyga helias (sunbittern), 530 nucleotides long. RefSeq lists it as uncharacterized. The transcript is spliced from 2 exons. The record is from RefSeq and is a predicted model, not a curated record. Lineage: Eukaryota; Metazoa; Chordata; Aves; Eurypygiformes; Eurypygidae.
AGGUGGAUUACAGUCAGUGGGGGCAGUGGAGCCAAGUGUACGGAAAUCCACAACAGUAUGGGCAAUAUAUGGCUAACGGGUGGCAAGUACCAUCGUACGGAAUGUACGGCCAAGCAUGGAAUCAACAGGGCUUUGGAGUAGACCAAUCUCCAUCUGCUGCCUGGAUGGGUGGAUUUGGUGCUCAGCCUGCCCAGGGACAAGGUGCUCCUGUAAUACCUAACCAAGCUGGAUAUGGUAUGGCAAGUUACCAAACGCAGUGAGCUGGGACUCUGUUUAAAAGUGUGUAUUUCAUGAUAGGCUGCAGUUUCCAGUGACAUUCUGAAGACUGGAAUGUAGACAAUGAAAAAAGAAAAAUAUUUAUUUUAAAAAUGGAAAUGUUUGGAACCUUUAGCACAGCUUUGCUUUGGUGAAGGACACAAAUGUCUUCUAGUUCUGCCUUUUUAAGUUUUUGUUCAUGAUGGAUAUGAACAUGUUUUUCUUUGUGUACAAAAAUUAAAAAUAAAGUCAAUAAAGACAAUUCUGACUACAAA